GGCUCUUUAGCUCAGUUGGUAGAGCAGAGGCCUGAAGAGUCUUGUGUCCCCAGUUCAAGUCUGGGAGGAGCCACCA
This 76-nucleotide transfer RNA is filed under the name Candidatus Saccharibacteria bacterium oral taxon 955. Its description in RNAcentral is "tRNA-Phe". It matches the Rfam family "tRNA". From Rfam's summary of the family: Transfer RNA (tRNA) molecules are approximately 80 nucleotides in length. Their secondary structure includes four short double-helical elements and three loops (D, anti-codon, and T loops). Lineage: Bacteria; Candidatus Saccharimonadota. The record is from RNAcentral.